AUACCGAGCUUGAUCCAAAAGCUCAUUGAAGUUAAUAAAACUUCUCACAUUGAUUUCAAGGGGCUUUGGAUCAUAAGCAAU
This is a non-coding RNA of Podarcis lilfordi (Lilford's wall lizard), 81 nucleotides long. Lineage: Eukaryota; Metazoa; Chordata; Lepidosauria; Squamata; Lacertidae. The record is from the annotation of a GenBank genome assembly.